Long non-coding RNA from Ipomoea nil (Japanese morning glory), 433 nucleotides. RefSeq lists it as uncharacterized. The transcript is spliced from 3 exons. Lineage: Eukaryota; Viridiplantae; Streptophyta; Magnoliopsida; Solanales; Convolvulaceae. The record is from RefSeq and is a predicted model, not a curated record.
UCUCGUCUAUCUGUCUGUGUACUCACUGUCUCACUCUCUCUUGUCCUCACUAUCUCACUGUCGAAAUCUCUACUCUCAAUCUUCAUCGCUUGGUUUCUCUCUAUUACAAUCGGUAAUUCUAGAGUUCCGAUCUAAUUUUCUCAAACUUUUAAUCUGGCGCCUCUCCGUCAACAGCAACCGCAGGGAAGGAUUUGCUGCCGCCGGUAGGACUUGCCUGUCAACAGCAACCGCAUGUACGCCGAGAAGGGAGGAAACUACAAGUGUUAGGCCUACUGAAGGAGAGUAAUCGAAGGAAACCGCGGGAGGAGGUUCUGCUAUUUUUGAAGGGUACUGAAUCUGGAGAUGAAGGCAGCAGUCCAACUGUGAAUUCAAGAAACGCUUGGUAUAUAAAUUCAAAAAAUAGAGAACAACAAAAUCAGAGUGUGUUGCAAUA